RNAcentral lists this ribosomal RNA (429 nucleotides) under Chloroflexota bacterium. RNAcentral's name for it is "Chloroflexi bacterium partial 16S ribosomal RNA". It matches the Rfam family "Bacterial small subunit ribosomal RNA", at positions 355 to 776 of the family's 1533-position model. Lineage: Bacteria; Bacillati; Chloroflexota. The record is from RNAcentral.
UGGGGAAUAUUGCACAAUGGGCGCAAGCCUGAUGCAGCCAUGCCGCGUGUAUGAAGAAGGCCUUCGGGUUGUAAAGUACUUUCAGUCGGGAGGAAGGUGGUAAGGUUAAUAACCUUGGCAAUUGACGUUACCGACAGAAGAAGCACCGGCUAACUCCGUGCCAGCAGCCGCGGUAAUACGGAGGGUGCAAGCGUUAAUCGGAAUUACUGGGCGUAAAGCGCACGCAGGCGGUUGAUUGAGUCAGAUGUGAAAUCCCCGGGCUUAACCCGGGAAUUGCAUCUGAUACUGGUCAGCUAGAGUCUUGUAGAGGGGGGUAGAAGUCCAUGUGUAGCGGUGAAAUGCGUAGAGAUGGGGAGGAAUACCGGUGGCGAAGGCGGCCCCCUGGACAAAGACUGACGCUCAGGUGCGAAAGCGUGGGGAGCAAACAGG